This 1443-nucleotide long non-coding RNA is filed under the name Lathyrus oleraceus (garden pea). RNAcentral describes it as "Pisum sativum (pea) long non-coding RNA (PSAT_LNC000176)". The record is from RNAcentral. Lineage: Eukaryota; Viridiplantae; Streptophyta; Magnoliopsida; Fabales; Fabaceae.
CUUUCUUUUCCAGAUAUUCACCCCUAUUUUAUUUCAUAUUUGUUGCUGUAGAUUCAUUUUUACAACUAAUUAUUCUCGCUUUUAUGAAAUUUCACUUUUUCACCAUCACUGUUGAAUUUCACGUUAGUUAUACUACCAAUUGAUAGAUGUUUUCUUGUGUUCGGUUUAGCUUAUUGAAUCAUUUGGUUUUUCAAAGAUAUAGUACAAUAUUUGUGAAGUAAUUUUUGUUUAAAGUUAGUGCAGUCAAAAUUUGGGGUUAAUUUUUGGUUUUGGGUCCUUUUUUAUAGUGAUAGACUACUGAAGUUUUCAAUAGCGUAAAGAUUUCAGGUCAAAAUCAAGUUUAUGACUUCAAUUUUCAUCUAACAAUGAAACAACGGAUUUGUCUCUCUCUUGAUUUAACAGUUUCCACUACUAGUAUGUCGUACUUUUCAUCCAUCCCUCUUGUGCUAUUGCUAUUGUUAGUAGUUGGGUUAAUCCAAUGGUUAAAAGCCAAAACAAUGGAAUAUUCCAAAAAUCUGAUAUUUGAAAUUGUUACGAGUUCUAACUAUGAACAGUGUUGUUCUCCGUAGAAGUUGUCUUAAUAAGAUUCCUGUAAAAUUUAUUCAGAUUUUUUUAACUAUUGUGUCAGCUUGAUCAAAGAGGAAUCACACAAGGAGCAAGAAGUUCUCAUGCUAUUGCUGUAGUAGGGCAAAAGGUCUAUGCAUUCGGGGGCGAGUUUGUGCCACGUGUCCCUGUUGAUAACAAGUUACACGUGUACGACCUAGAUACCUUGACAUGGUCAGUAGCCGAUGUAUCUGGCAGCAUCCCGCCGCCACGUGUUGGUGUCACAAUGGCUGCAGUUGGAGAAACCAUCUAUGUAUUUGGUGGAAGAGAUGUUGAACACACAGAACUCAAUGAGCUCUAUUCUUUUGAUACUAAGACCAACACUUGGGCCUUGAUUUCAAGAGGAGAUAUUGGGCCUCCUCACCGGAGUUACCAUUCCGUGACAGCCGAUGACCGACAUGUGUAUGUUUUCGGCGGCUGUGGGGUCACUGGAAGGCUCAAUGAUUUAUGGGCGUUUGAUGUUGUUGAUGGCAAGUGGGUGGAAUUUCCAUCUCCCGGUGAAACUUGCAAGGGAAGAGGUGGGCCGGGCCUAACAGUUUCCCAAGGAAAAAUAUGGGUUGUUUAUGGUUUUGCGGGAAUGGAAGUCGAUGACGUGCAUUGCUUUGAUCUGGCUCAUAAAACAUGGGCCCAAGUGGAAACAGGUGGGCUCAAACCGACUGCUCGUAGUGUGUUUUCAACUUGUUUGACUGGGAAACACAUAAUUGUAUAUGGUGGGGAAAUAGACCCUAGUGACCAAGGUCAUAUGGGUGCUGGUCAAUUUUCUGGCGAGGUUUAUGCAUUAGACACCGAGACAUUAUCAUGGGCAAGGCUGGACGAUAAGGUGGAAUCCGGUGGCCAUCC